UACGGAGGGUGCAAGCGGUACUCGGAAUCACUGGGCGUAAAGGGCGCGUAGGCGGCCUAGCAAGUCUGGUGUGAAAGCCCAGGGCCCAACCCUGGAAGGGCACUGGAAACUGUUAGGCUUGAGUUCCGGAGAGGAGGGGGGAAUUCCCGGUGUAGCGGUGAAAUGCGUAGAUAUCGGGAGGAAUACCGGUGGCGAAGGCGUCCCUCUGGACGGAAACUGACGCUGAGGCGCGAAAGCGUGGGGAGCAAACAGG
Molecule: ribosomal RNA, 253 nt
Filed under: uncultured bacterium
Lineage: Bacteria
Description: partial 16S ribosomal RNA
Rfam family: Bacterial small subunit ribosomal RNA
Source: RNAcentral